UGCGUAGGUGGUCUUUUAAGUCGGAUGUGAAAUCCCUGAGCUUAACUUAGGAAUUGCAUUCGAUACUGGGAGACUAGAGUAUGGGAGAGGAUGGUAGAAUUCCAGGUGUAGCGGUGAAAUGCGUAGAGAUCUGGAGGAAUACCGAUGGCGAAGGCAGCCAUCUGGCCUAAUACUGACACUGAGGCACGAAAGCAUGGGGAGCAAACA
RNAcentral lists this ribosomal RNA (207 nucleotides) under uncultured Acinetobacter sp. RNAcentral describes it as "partial 16S ribosomal RNA". It matches the Rfam family "Bacterial small subunit ribosomal RNA", at positions 568 to 774 of the family's 1533-position model. The record is from RNAcentral. Lineage: Bacteria; Pseudomonadati; Pseudomonadota; Gammaproteobacteria; Moraxellales; Moraxellaceae.